This 440-nucleotide ribosomal RNA is filed under the name uncultured bacterium. RNAcentral's name for it is "bacterial SSU rRNA". It matches the Rfam family "Bacterial small subunit ribosomal RNA", at positions 338 to 795 of the family's 1533-position model. The record is from RNAcentral.
CCUACGGGUGGCUGCAGUGAGGAAUCUUCCGCAAUGGGCGAAAGCCUGACGGAGCAAUGCCGCGUGCAGGAUGAAGCGGCUACGCCGUGUAAACUGCUGUCAGGGGGUAGAAACACUGAUCACCCCCAAAGGAAGAGCCGGCUAACCCUGUGCCAGCAGCCGCGGUAAGACAGGGGGCUCGAGCGUUAAUCGGAAUCAUUGGGCUUAAAGGGUGCGUAGGCGGGUCGCUAAGUGUUCUGUGAAAUCCCUCGGCUCAACCGGGGAAUCGCAGGGCAUACUGGCGGCCUUGAGGCAUGUAGGGGCGGACGGAACUGUAGGUGGAGCGGUGAAAUGCGUAGAUAUCUACAGGAACGCCGAUGGUGAAGACGGUCCGCUGGGCAUGUCCUGACGCUGAGGCACGAAAGCGUGGGGAGCAAACAGGCUUAGAUACCCUUGUAGUC